Long non-coding RNA from Mauremys mutica (yellowpond turtle), 1423 nucleotides. RefSeq lists it as uncharacterized. The record is from RefSeq and is a predicted model, not a curated record. NCBI's taxonomy places the organism in Eukaryota, Metazoa, Chordata, Testudines, Geoemydidae. The transcript is spliced from 7 exons.
CCAGCUGUGUGGCUAUUGCUGCCGGCCACGUCUUCAGUUCCCAAUUUAAAGCCCCCAGGUGGGUGGGUCUGUCUGGGUCUGGGAAAUCGGAGUAACCUCCCUGGUGGGCUCACCUGGUCUGUCGCAGCUCCGUCUUCUCACAUGCAUCUGGUGGCUUCAGGAUCCUUCUGGUGUGCAAAGCUACUAGAAUAAAUAUGUUCUGUUAAAACGGGCUUCUGUUCUGUCCACAGGUGACUGUGGGCCCCUGCCAAAGCUGAAUUAUGCUAUUCCCCUCUGAUAUGGAUCAGAUAGAGGGCUUCCCUGUUGACACACAAGUUACAUACAAGUGCUGUGAUGAGUUUUUUAAAAUGCCUGGAAAGUCAGACGCUGUAGUGUGCCUUUCAAACUCACAACGGUCAAACGUCAAUGAGUUUUGUGGUUCGAUUACGUGUUCUUCCCCUCCUUACGUUGCCAAUGGAACAUACGAUGGAAGGGGUGUAGAAAACUUUGCUUAAUACUCAACAGUAACUUACAGAUGUGACUGUGGGUUCCAGCUUAUUGGAGCUGCCUCCAUUCAUUGUACAACAAAAGAUAAAACAAGUGGAAUCUGGAGUGGACCUGCUCCUAAAUGCAAAGACACAACUGCACGUGUCCUAUUAAAGGGAAAUGAAACAAGUGGUACUUUCUCAGAUUCUUAUAAUGCAUCCAGUAACAUGGUACCCGAGCAGCAUCUGAAAAAGAAAAUAAAAAGCAGACUGUAUUAUGUAUCACAAUUCCAAAACAAAUAUUUCACCAUCACUUCCUCCCGUUCUUCUUCAUUUCCCAAAGGUGACCUGAGGACACGAGGUAGUUGGAUUACUCCAUCACUGUUCAGAUUUGCUGUACCCCUGUACGUUAAUCAGAACUAUUGUUCUGUCAGAACAAAUGAAAGAUCUAUUUGACGACAGAGUUACAUGGGAAUCUCUGGAGUAUUACCCAGCGCCACGUGCUUUCAAAACUUAAAAUGGUCACAAGUCCCAGGGUUCUGUGGAACGAGAUCUUUGCUAUCCAGGAGAACAAGAGCAUGGCAGAGCUGCUGCUAUAACAGAUUUCCAAUUCGGUGCAAGAGUGGAUUUCACCCUUGAAGAAGGGAGAGGAUCAGGCUGUGGUGAAUGACUGAGAGCUGCUGGCUGACUCUGGAAACUGAGCAUCAAAGGACUCCUGCUAUCCCUAAUGGAAUAGAUGGCAGAAAUGUCGAAAACUUUGCCUGUGCCUCUGCAGCAACAUAGAUGUUAUUGUGCUUUGUCUUUCAUUGAAGAGGAUCCAUUUAUUGUACAAUGAAAAAACCAAAGUACUGUGGAGUUGGCCUGGUCUGAAUGCAAAUGCGACUAGCAUUUAGUAUUUGCCUCUCGUUCUACUGUCAUGCACCGAGAAAAGUAUUAAUUACUAGGCAAGCACCUAAAUG